GGGCUCCCUCAGGCGGGCGGGGGCUGCGGCGGUGCCGCCCGCGGCCGGUUUCUGUGUGCGGCUGCAGCUGGAAUCGUAGAACCGUGGAAUUAUAGCGUUAUAGAACCAUAGAAUUAGAGAAUCACAGAAUUGUAGAACCAUCAAGGUUGGAAGAGGCCUUUAAGAUCGUCCAGUCCAGCCGUCCACCCACUAACCACUAACCACUGAACCACAUCACCCGGCGCCAGACCCAGGCGCUUCUUAAACACCUCCAGGGAUGGUGAUUCCACCACUUCCCUGGGCAACCUGGCGCCGCACCGGUUCCCUCCACAUAGAGCAGCCGCACAGAAUUACUGAAUCACAAAAUCAAUUAGGUUGGAAAAGACCUCUGAGAUUACUGAGUCCAAGCUCCGACCAACCACUCUGCCAUGUCAACUAUGUCACCAUGUCAUGGCAAGAAGCACCAUGUCUGGUCUUUGGAGAGAUGUUGCAACAUGGCUCUGUCACCAGCAGAACUCUGAGCAGGGCAGUGCUGGGGAGAGCCAAGCUCUGUAUGAGCGACAGAAAACAGAGGCUGGAAAGGGAAAAAAUCCACAUCUGUGAGGUGUUCAGAGAUGUCAGGGAGCUGCCAGUGUUUGCUAAAGUUCCUGUGAUCCUCAUUGCCUGCGUGUCUCUUAGAGCUGGAAGCCGGCGAGUGGGAUUAGAGCACAUGGCAGCCCACGGCUCUUGGUGUCAUCCCCAGGGAUGGAGUCUCUCACAACCUCUCCAUCGCAGUUUACGGAAACAAAGUCUGCACAGUAGUUUUUUUAGGCUUAGUUUAUUACAAGUUUUACUAAUUUAUUACAGUGGAUCUAAUUUUAAUCAGUCAAAACUUACUAACUGUGUCUAGACAAAAAUCAUCAGGUGAACCAUUCUGAUUGAGAUUUCCAAGAGUCUCAUGACUUUAUAACUGUGCCUCUUACAUCCAGGCAUGAACUUUCAGAUUGGAACAAAGUACAGACUCGCAGCUUGGCUAAAGUCAGUCAGUUUCCUAACAGAAAUCAUGACUUGUACUGGAAAUUUUUCAAACACGCUUGAAGUUAAUUAAAAAAA
Corapipo altera (White-ruffed manakin) is the source of this 1071-nucleotide long non-coding RNA. RefSeq lists it as uncharacterized. NCBI's taxonomy places the organism in Eukaryota, Metazoa, Chordata, Aves, Passeriformes, Pipridae. The transcript has 2 exons. The record is from RefSeq and is a predicted model, not a curated record.